AGAGUUUGAUCCUGGCUCAGGACGAACGCUGGCGGCGUGCUUAACACAUGCAAGUCGAACGGAAAGGCCCUUCGGGGUACUCGAGUGGCGAACGGGUGAGUAACACGUGGGUGAUCUGCCCUGCACUUUGGGAUAAGCCUGGGAAGCUGGGUCUAAUACCGAAUAUGACCAUGCACUUCCUGGUGUGUGGUGGAAAGCUUUUGCGGUGUGGGAUGGGCCCGCGGCCUAUCAGCUUGUUGGUGGGGUAAUGGCCUACCAAGGCGACGACGGGUAGCCGGCCUGAGAGGGUGACCGGCCACACUGGGACUGAGAUACGGCCCAGACUCCUACGGGAGGCAGCAGUGGGGAAUAUUGCACAAUGGGCGCAAGCCUGAUGCAGCGACGCCGCGUGAGGGAUGACGGCCUUCGGGUUGUAAACCUCUUUCAGCACAGACGAAGCGCAAGUGACGGUAUGUGCAGAAGAAGGACCGGCCAACUACGUGCCAGCAGCCGCGGUAAUACGUAGGGUCCGAGCGUUGUCCGGAAUUACUGGGCGUAAAGAGCUCGUAGGUGGUUUGUCGCGUUGUUCGUGAAAACUCACAGCUUAACUGUGGGCGUGCGGGCGAUACGGGCAGACUUGAGUACUGCAGGGGAGACUGGAAUUCCUGGUGUAGCGGUGGAAUGCGCAGAUAUCAGGAGGAACACCGGUGGCGAAGGCGGGUCUCUGGGCAGUAACUGACGCUGAGGAGCGAAAGCGUGGGGAGCGAACAGGAUUAGAUACCCUGGUAGUCC
This 771-nucleotide ribosomal RNA is filed under the name uncultured bacterium. RNAcentral's name for it is "bacterial SSU rRNA". It matches the Rfam family "Bacterial small subunit ribosomal RNA", at positions 8 to 796 of the family's 1533-position model. The record is from RNAcentral.